UAUAAGCACUAAUACCAAAGGUGCAGUUUAUGAGCUCACAACGCAAUCACAUAAAUAAAUCGUCUGAAUAAUAUAAACCCACAUGUGCAUCCACCGCAUCAAUUCACGUAUAUAUGCAUCAAUUAUCAAACCAAAUAUCUCAACAAUUGCAUGCAUGGCAAUUUAAAUCAUAAUUUUCAAAUAAACGCAUUUUCUGGGAAAAACAAUAGUAUAUAGGUAAUACGAAAACAAAACUGCCCACUCACCUGGAGUUCGCCCUACAACUCCCUAGCACAAUACGUCAAGGCGUCAUGACGAUCGGCGCCUAAAACAAUAAUCAAAUCCAAUCUCAGAAAUCAUAUCGAUAGAAUAUAUAACUUAUAUAAAACACGUCACUACGCAGUUUGAUCUGGAAGAUCUGCAACUCAGAUUUCAAAUCCAUAACUUCCAGAGGACCACAAUAUACCUCCAGGACAACAUCCUAAAAUUUCAUUACCAUCCAACGGUCGGAUCUCCGUCAAUUAUCAAAACCAAGUGACGGUUAACAUUCUAUAUUAUGGACUUACAACCCCAAUUCCGGAAGAUCCGCAUUUCGGAUUCCCAAUCCGUAAGUUCCUAUAAUCCUCAAAUAUUACGUAUUACAACGCAUCAAAGUUUGGUGACGAUCCAACGGUCGGAUCGUCAAUUCACAUUUUCACCUAAAUGCGAAAACUAUAAAACGUUAUUUAAGGCACCUAACUAACAAUUCUUAAUAACUUCUCAUACGGUGCUUAAUUUGGGUAUAUGAAUAUACCACAUUGACCUACUCGACGUCACGGACGUCGAAAAAUUUUUAAAAUAAUUUUUGAUGUGGCACGCGCCCCCACGCGCCAGGGAAGGCACGGGUCCACGCGCACCUUCUUCCUCGCGAGCUCGCCGGACUGGUUUUUCCGGUGGCCGGAAAACUGGGGAAUUUUCAAAUGCUUUGUUCUCCUUCGUUUCU
RNAcentral lists this long non-coding RNA (961 nucleotides) under Malus domestica (apple). RNAcentral describes it as "long non-coding RNA (MDOM_LNC002098)". The record is from RNAcentral. Lineage: Eukaryota; Viridiplantae; Streptophyta; Magnoliopsida; Rosales; Rosaceae.